AACGAACGCUGGCGGCAUGCCUAACACAUGCAAGUCGAACGAGACCUUCGGGUCUAGUGGCGCACGGGUGCGUAACGCGUGGGAACCUGCCCUUAGGUUCGGAAUAACUCCCCGAAAGGGGUGGUAAUACCGGAUAAUGUCUUCGGACCAAAGAUUUAUCGCCUUUGGAUGGGCCCGCGUUGGAUUAGCUAGUUGGUAGGGUAAAAGCCUACCAAGGCGACGAUCCAUAGCUGGUCUGAGAGGAUGAUCAGCCACACUGGGACUGAGACACGGCCCAGACUCCUACGGGAGGCAGCAGUGGGGAAUAUUGGACAAUGGGCGAAAGCCUGAUCCAGCAAUGCCGCGUGAGUGAUGAAGGCCUUAGGGUUGUAAAGCUCUUUUACCCGGGAUGAUAAUGACAGUACCGGGAGAAUAAGCGCCGGCUAACUCCGUG
Molecule: ribosomal RNA, 433 nt
Filed under: uncultured bacterium
Lineage: Bacteria
Description: partial 16S ribosomal RNA
Rfam family: Bacterial small subunit ribosomal RNA
Source: RNAcentral